UCCGGUUUAUCACCGGCAGUCUCCACAGAGUUCUCACCAUGACGUGUUAGUAACUGUGAACAAGGGUUGCGCUCGUUGCGGGACUUAACCCAACAUCUCACGACACGAGCUGACGACAGCCAUGCAGCACCUUGCACUCUGCCAAGUUUUACCUUGGGGGCCCCAUCUCUGGGGUUGUCAGAGGCAUUCUAGCCCAGGUAAGGUUCUUCGCGUUGCGUCGAAUUAAACCACACGCUCCGCUGCUUGUGCGGGCCCCCGCCUAUUCCUUUGAGUUUUAACCUUGCGGCCGUAGUCCCCAGGCGGUGAACUUAAUGCGUUAGCUGCGGCACUGAUCGGGUCAAUCCGACCAACACCUAGUUCACAACGUUUAGGGCAUGGACUAC
Molecule: unclassified non-coding RNA, 383 nt
Filed under: uncultured bacterium
Lineage: Bacteria
Description: contains 16S-23S intergenic spacer region
Source: RNAcentral